UCUCAAGUAUAUGAGACAUGCUAACUCAAUUCAAUCUUGAGAAACCUUUUGAUAGAUAACAACUCUCCCUAAAGGUUUAUAUUAUAAAUAAUAAACUAAUAAAAAAUAUUGAUAUUAGAGAUUAUAGAGGAAAGGGUUAUAUUUUAGAAGCAUAUAGUAAUGGUCAGAGAUGAUUGUGCUCCGGAAAAAAUUUAGAUUUACAGAUUUUUUGCCAACCGCGUUCUGGAAGUAAGUUUCUGGAAAUUUUAAGAAAUCACUGAUCGCAUUAAUGUAUAAAAACUCUUUUAUAUUUUAUUUAAAAAUAUUAGAACUAUAAUUUAUACUUGGCAUCUCUUUCAUUUGUAAAUAUUUUUUCUGGUAGAAUAAUAAAAGUGAUUAGAGACAAAAUUAAACGUAUACUUAAUUAUUAAUUUAAAUUGGGCUGCCUAUAAUUGAUUUGGAAUUUCAUGUUUUGAAAAUAUGAAUGAAUUAAAUUUAUUUAGACAUUAAUUUUUUGAAAUGCUUCAUUAAUGAUUUCGCCCAAGAAAUUUUCAGGAUUUUUGAGUUGGGCUCACAAUCACCCCUGAAUGGUAUAAGUUCAGAAUAAAAAAAUAUUUUAAUAAUAUUGGAUAAUCAGAUGUACAAUUAAACAAGUUUUCGUGUUAGUUACGUAAAUAAUAAUUGAGUACGUAUGUAAUAAUUUAGUUAUAAAACUUAAUCCGUGAAAUUUACUUUUGCAUUGUUAGUUGUGCACAAAACCAUACUCCUGCAUGUACUAGUUAUAAAAAUAAGGCGAUUGUUACAUAAACUGGCAUCCCUGUUUUUCCUUUUCACUCUCUUAAUGCAUGCUUUGUAGAAAUAAUAUCUUCUUCUUCCUCCUGUAGUCGCAUGAAGAAGCUCAUACUUUAUCUGUAGAUUGGAAUACUAUCCUGGAGCAGAGGUUGAAAGAACUAGCCAAACAGACUCCCGAUGCUAUCCCCAAAGUUCCCAGCCCCAUACCACCUCCUGUAUUUGUGAGUCCCCCUGCCAAGCCAAGAGAAAUAAUGAACUCAGGAAAGCCCUCAUCCGAUUUGAUGUCUCUGAAUCAAUCAGUUUUAGGUGGAGGUUUCAUACAGGCUGUCCCUUACCCACAAGAAGAUCUUUCAGCAGUUUAGCCUCAAGCAAUGGCUCCAAAUUUUGUCACUGAAGUACCUUUUAAUGCUGCAUUUCCUGUGGUUCACCAAGCUGAUACAGGAGGUUUUGAUGCACUUGCGGAUGUGUUGCAGCCUCAGGCAACCAGUAGUCCCGUUCCCCCCAAAGAGUGUGAUCCAAAGUCAUCUCCCACAUCUACACCAGGGGGAAGACUCAUAUCAUCCGACUUAGAUUCAAGCCUUCAAACUUGAGUCCAAAAUCUAGACAUCAAUGGACCAAAGAAAUCUCCUGCCAAGUAAGUUUUUCUAUUUUAAAUAUCUUAUGAAGUUUAUCUUGAAAUAUUUCUCUGUUUAAAAACCCUCCUUAAUUCUAUUUCAAAUACA
Molecule: long non-coding RNA, 1493 nt
Organism: Parasteatoda tepidariorum (common house spider)
Lineage: Eukaryota; Metazoa; Arthropoda; Arachnida; Araneae; Theridiidae
Source: RefSeq, a predicted model, not a curated record